CAUUUUAUUACACAUUAAAGAAGAAGACUUUCUAAGGUGAAUGUACUAAGGACAUGUAAGGUUAUUCAGUGUAGCCAAUGUCUCCCAUCCUUAUGGCCAAGGUUUUAACAGCAUUUUAUUUCCCUACCCCUGCAUAUGACAUUUUUUGUUGGUUUUCUGGAUAAUGCGCAGAAAUGCUGAGGACUUUAAAGAGGUUAUUCAAGAGCCUUAUAAAGAGGUUAUAAUUAUAGCUCUUGAAGCUAACAGUUUGUAAUUUUAGGGUCAAAACUGUAUGCAUUUUAAAGCAUACAGUCCUCAUUUGCAAAGCAGGGCUCAUGAUGAACACAGAAAGACAAUUUUGUUCUAUCUGCAUAUGUCAAGAGAGAAUAUUGCCUUGAUCUAAAUAUUUGGAGAUUCAAACAGAUGACUUUAAUUUAUAAUGCAUAUCUUAUAAGCCUGCUCUAGUUUGCUUCAAUGGUUACUUAUAAAUGAAAACAAACAAGGAGUAGCAAAAAAUAAACAAAUGGCCUGAUAGUAUGUGUAGUGAAACUUUGGUGAAUACUUUUCCCCACAAAACUUACGUGCUUAGACAGCCUUGUAACAACAACCACCCAAAUAGUUUAUAGAUGUUUCAGUGUAUGUGCUAAAAAAAAGUUUCACAAGUUUAAUUAAGCAGAUGUUUAAAAAGUAUCUUCUGAGUUUAUAGAAUAUAUUUAUUCUCAAAAAGCAUGAGAAU
RNAcentral lists this long non-coding RNA (715 nucleotides) under Bos taurus (domestic cattle). RNAcentral describes it as "long non-coding RNA NONBTAT016449". Lineage: Eukaryota; Metazoa; Chordata; Mammalia; Artiodactyla; Bovidae. The record is from RNAcentral.